AUUGAACGCUGGCGGCAUGCUUUACACAUGCAAGUCGAACGGUAACAGGCCUUCGGGUGCUGACGAGUGGCGAACGGGUGAGUAAUGCAUCGGAACGUACCCAGAGGUGGGGGAUAACGCAGCGAAAGCUGUGCUAAUACCGCAUGUGAUCUGAGGAUGAAAGCGGGGGACCGAGCAGCAAUGUUUGGCCUCGCGCCUUUGGAGCGGCCGAUGUCGGGUUAGCUUGUUGGUGGGGUAAAGGCCUACCAAGGCGACGAUCCGUAGCUGGUCUGAGAGGACGACCAGCCACACUGGGACUGAGACACGGCCCAGACUCCUACGGGAGGCAGCAGUGGGGAAUUUUGGACAAUGGGCGCAAGCCUGAUCCAGCAAUGCCGCGUGCGGGAAGAAGGCCUUCGGGUUGUAAACCGCUUUUGGCAGGAACGAAACGGUGUCCGCUAAUACCGGGCGCUAAUGACGGUACCUGCAGAAUAAGCACCGGCUAACUACGUG
This 492-nucleotide ribosomal RNA is filed under the name uncultured bacterium. Its description in RNAcentral is "partial 16S ribosomal RNA". It matches the Rfam family "Bacterial small subunit ribosomal RNA", at positions 29 to 507 of the family's 1533-position model. The record is from RNAcentral.